GGAGUGCUGGAGUUCCAGGUGUGUUCUACAUUGCCCAGCAUGCAUGCUCCUGAGGAUCAAAUCCAGGUCUUCUUGAACACUAACUAGCAACUCCUUCUACAGGGACGUGUUCUCCUCAUGCACAGAAGCCCUGUUCAAACAUUACCAAGAAGACUGAUAAGAAGAAAAAGCAUGCACUGCUGCUGAUUCAUGGAGAAAUCACCGAAUUUGACUCAGUUCCAAGUUUGGGCUCAAGACCAAAGAAGCCUCAACUCCAUAAGCCAUGACUUAUCCACAGAUACCCCAGUAUGAAGGAAAUGCUAGCUUUUGUAUGUUACUAAAAUCUCAAGAGCUACUGUUGUGUGGUUUUAAUUGCUGUCCGAUAGGAGGACCUGGAAUCUAGCAGCAAUGAAAGUUAUGUAAGUUCUCAUUGAACUAUAUACAUAUUAAGAUCAAUCUGGCCCUUAAUUGUGUUUGCUAAACCCAGCAUAAAGUCUUGGCCAAAUACUUUACAUAUUUACAUACUGUUCAUAUGUAUGUAUGAACAACGUUGUAUUCGGGUAUGAUUGUUUAUCAUGGGUGUCUAGAAGCCACAUAUAUAGGCUUACAAUGGCAGCAUGAGAAGAGGCUUACACAAACCUGGAUGUAGUAUUUCCCAACAUCAAUCAAUGCAGCCCCUCCUUCUCCCCGAGUAUAUUUUCAUUGCAUGUUGUAAAGAAAUGCUUAAGGAAAUUGAUGCUCUAUU
Long non-coding RNA from Alexandromys fortis (reed vole), 724 nucleotides. RefSeq lists it as uncharacterized. The record is from RefSeq and is a predicted model, not a curated record. NCBI's taxonomy places the organism in Eukaryota, Metazoa, Chordata, Mammalia, Rodentia, Cricetidae. The transcript has 3 exons.